GAUUUAGGUUUUGUCUCUAGUAGGUGUAAUAAAACUAAUUUAGUAAAGUGUUUAUGUCUAAUCCACAUGUCCACUUCACGACGGUUAGAUUUUAUUGUGAUUUGAAAAUUUGAUCGAUCUAAAAUUGACGGUCCUUAUUAAAACUAAUUUUGUUGCUGAUAUGGCAAAGUUGGUUCUUUAAAACUACCUACAAAAUAAUCUGAUGUGGCAUGAUGGUAUAUUAGGUAGUUCACUUCAUAAUUUGGCCGGAAUUUCAAAUGGGGAGGGGGAAGGGGGGACACGAAGAUGAUAAUAGAGGUGAAGAAGAUGAUAAUAGAUUUAGGUUUUGUCUCUAGUACCUAGUAGGUGUAAUAAAACUAAUUUGGUAAAGUGUUUAUGUCUAAUCCACAUGUCCACUUCACGACAGUUAGACUGCUUAGAGGAGUAGUUGUUUAUGUAUUCAACCAUGACAUGCUAUUGAUAAUUGAUGGCAUGAGUGGUCAAACAACGUACCAUGAUUAAUAAUUGCAAUAUUCCAACCUAUUAUUUAGGUGGGCCAAAAACUAAAAACCCAUUUUCUUAACCUUAUUUUGACUGUGGUUUAUAUUUGUAUGCAAAUAAUUGAUAUCUAGUUUUUAUAUUUGAUAUCUUAUAAAAAAAAAAAAAAAUCUAGUUUUCACAAAUAUAAAAGCUCACCGUAUUUCUAAAACGUUCAGACUUCAGAGACCAGAGUCACUGUUUACUCUGGACUAGACAGUUUAGGUUGGAGAAGGGUUUUUACUGAGUCCACAUUUUGUAACAAAAGGAUGAAGAAAUAAAGACACGUGUUAUUAGAAUAUAUCUAUAUUCCAAUUCCAAUUCCAUAUAAACAUCUGUUUUUGUAAACUCUCUUAUCACAAACCCUACCGAUGUCGUCCGAUAGCGGCCGUGAAAUAUGGCUGCGGUCUCCCAAACGACCGGUAAGUCUUAUAACAAACCCAGUCAUGUCGUCCGAUGCCGGCAAUGAAUUUUUUGAAAAAGCGCUGCGGUCUCCGAAACGAUCACGAACUGAAGAGGCAGAAAAAGGAUUCGAGAAGAAUGAGACAAAAGAAAAAGAAAAAGUAAAAGUAAAAGAAGAAGAAGAAGAUGAUGAUGACGAUUAUGUAGAAGAAGGUAUGUUUUUGCCUUUUCUUUCUUUGGUUUUUUUUUUUCAUCACAAAUUUAAUCCGUACCUAAUUUUCUGAUUUGAAUUUGUAUUGUUUGAAAUUAUCUGCUUUAGGUUAAUGUUUGUCUGAUUUCGUAAAUUUAGGGUUAAAGAUCUGCAUCUCUAAAAUAAAUUUGACUUUUAUUUUUCUUAUUAAAGAAGCUAUUAGAAUUUAGAACAACAAACCUAUAUCUGCAAAUACUCCCAAUGCCACAUAUAACAAUGAAUAGUUGCACAUUUUUCUGCCUUAAAACGGAAUUAUUGUAUGUAGUUUUACAUUUGGUUAAAGCGUCUUACUCAAGCUGGAUAUCAUGUGUUGGUGACUCGGUAUGUAUUCUACUAUGAGUGUUUUUGUAGGCAUGUUUUAUAAAUGCCAUGGUUUGGGUUUGUAUGCACGUUUUAUAAGUGCUACUAGAGUCAUAGGUUUUUGUCACAAAAUCAAUGUCAAAGGGGGAGAUUGAAAUUGGCACUCGGUUAUUUGACAUUAAUUUUGUGACAUUGAUUGUCUCGGUUAUCUCGCCUUGAGUUCAUUGUUAGGAAAACCAAGUUGUACGCGCAUCGUCCCGAGUCUGUGUCCUCGCGUCCUUUUGUCAAAAGUAAGUUUUUGGGUUUAGGACGUACGUACCUAGUUAGGGCGUACGUACGUCAUGUUAGGCAGCAAACAUGUUUUGGUCAGGACGUACGUACCUAGUUAGGACGUAUGUACGUCCAAGCAGACAGCGAACUAUUUUCGUGUGGGGACGUACGUACGCUGUUUCGACGUACGUACGUCCAAUGUAAAAUCUGCAAAGUCCGGCCCAUUUUCUAUGUUUCCAAACCCUAACUAUAUAUAGGGUUUCUUUACCCAAUGAACAAACUAGUUCUUUGGCCGUCCAAUUCAUCUCUAGUCUUGGAGUUUGUUUAGGUUUUGGUUUAGGUUGUUUUGGUGAUUGAACUCAUCUUCUUCUUCCCCAUUCAUCUUCUUCUUCCUUAUUAAAUAUUGAGAUCAGCUUCGAGUCUUCUUGUGUGUUCAUCAAGAAAUCGAGUAUCCUUGUGUGUUCAUCAAGGAACUCUGGUGUAAGCUUGCUACAUAGAUCGGCUUCGAGUCUUCUUGUGUGUUCAUCAAGAAGUCGAGUGUCUUGUGCGUACAUCAAGGUACUCUGGUGAAGUCAAGGUGUUAGAGAUAACCAGUAGUGUCAACUCGCAGUGAUUGCAGGUAGUUGAUAGGUUUGUACAUCUCUUUUCAUCUAGUGGAUUUAUUUGUUGUCACGAGGACAACCGUGGACGUUUCCCAUAUUGAGUUUUACCACGUUAAAAAUAUCGUGUGUUCUUUACUUGUUUACUGCUUUAUUGUUUGCUUCACUAUUGUUAUAUUGCAUAUAUUGGGUUUUCAUGUACUGCUGUGAUUCAACUUCUGUCCAUACAAGCACCAAUGCGGAUUCCUUGACAUUCUCAUGUCUGAGGAGAUCAGUACCUUGGUCCUUGUACUUGUAGGCCACAUAUUUGGCUAUUGCUCGAGAUUCUGCACAUUAAAUGAAUAUCACAUUGUUACUAUAGUGCAUAUAAUCGACAUUUUUAUAUUUGACGAACAUUUUUAUAUAAUGCAUAGACAUUCGACAAUAUAUGUAUGGAUUUAUCGACAAAUCAAAAGAACUUACCGAAAAGUGUGAGAUCGCCAUCCUCCAACACUGGAAUUUGACCAAAUGGCUGCUUGGCGAGGAAAGUAGGUUGUUUGUGUUCACCCACAGCUAGAUUAAGAGGAAUCAAUUCAUAUUCAACACCCUUCUCAAUCAAACAUGUUAGUACUCGUGCAGUACAUGAAGACAAAGGCAUUCCAUAAACCUUAACAGCAGCCAUGGCUAGAGAAAUAAUGUUCUUUGAAAAGAUAGAAAGAAAUAGAAGAACAAAUGUAGGUUUGAGAAGAAGAAAGAGAUAUAGAUAGAGCAGAAAGAGUUGUGGAGAUUUAGAGCAGAGAACCAAGCUUAAUAUAUAGCUAGACUGCUUAGAGGAGUAGUUGUUUAUGUAUUCAACCAUGACAUGCUAUUGAUAAUUGAUGGCAUGAGUGGUCAAACAACGUACCAUGAUUAAUAAUUGCAAUAUUCCAACCAUACUGUAUUUGUUUUCUUCUAGAAAAAAAUUAUAGACAAAAUAAUAGAUUUUUCUUUAUACAAAUGUGUUUUCAUAUUAUUAACUUUGGAUUAUUUUUAAUUUUUUUUUUUUUCAGAAAAUGAUUUGUGUCUGAGAAUGAACUGAAAUAAUUAAUUUUUUCUUACUAGACAGUACACACUAUGAUAUUUUGUGAAAUAUUUGCAUUUUUUUUUUUUUUUUUUUUUUUGCAAAAAUGCAAAAUAUUCUACCAUAAGAUCAGCUAGCCCAAGAACUUGUUUGGCUGUUGGCUAUGUACACCCACAUGAUAAUUGCGCCGCGAAGUCUUCUCUUCUCUUUCACUCUUUCUCCAUCACUAUCAUCUCUUGCUUGUUCUUCUGAGGAAAUUCUAAAGGCAAGUUUUUUUACUGUUUGGGUUUUGUUUGAUUUUUUCACAGUAAUGGAUCUCUAGUGUUUUCUUCUCUACUUUUUCUUCAUUUUUAUUGCAUUCUAAAUCUAAAACUAGCUACUUCUAUGAUGAUCUAUUGAUAUAUAUCUAUGACUUUUUUGCUAUUUAGUAAGUGGGAUUUUAAUCAUUAAUAACAACCCAUUGAAAGUAUUGAGAUUUCCAUUAAAGGGUAUCUUUAAAAUCUAAAAAUGAUUGAGGAUUUUGAGAUCCAAUUGUGACUUGAAAUGCACAAUGUUUUACAUUUCUAAAUAAAUUCUACUGAGGUGAUUAGUAAUUCUGAUGGAAAUCGAUCUUAAAUUUGUUUUUGCAGUAAUGAGGUGUGAUUUCAAUUCACUUGUUAUAUUCUCAGUUGUCCUUCGCAUUGUUCUUAUUAUUUAUGGAGAAUGGCAAGAUACCCAUAUGGAAGUUAGAUACACUGAUGUUGAUUACCUUGUUUUCUCGGAUGCUUCUUCUUUGAUGGCAUCUGGAUUGUCGCCUUAUAAGAGAUCUACNNNNNNNNNNNNNNNNNNNNNNNNNNNNNNNNNNNNNNNNNNNNNNNNNNNNNNNNNNNNNNNNNNNNNNNNNNNNNNNNNNNNNNNNNNNNNNNNNNNNUUUCUGCUUCAGGUAUGAAUCCUUCUUUUUUCUUCCAUAUGAAGUUUAACCCAUUACCUACUUUGGGAGGUUUAUACGUUCUUGAUUUUUAUUGAGUUGGCUUUACCGGUUGAACUUUAUAAUGAGAAUUAGCAUCAACAGAUGACAUAGAUUGAUGAAUGUGCUUAUGUUGCAGAUAUUCUUGUGGGAUUAUUUAUUCGCAAUAUUUUGAAGCUACGCGGUGUUCCGGAGAAUUUAUGCCUAAUCUCUAUGGGAGCAUGGCUCUUUAAUCCAUUUACCUUCACCAUAGGGACUCGUGGGAACUGCGAGCUAGUACUGUAUAACUCAUUGUACUUUCUUCAACGUUUUAGAUUUUAAUUAGAUUGUAACUAAUACCAUACCUUUUUUAAUUUAAAUUAUGUAUGACAUAUUUGCCUUCUUUAAUCUCAUCAUGUUUCUCAAUUUACAGGCAAGGUGUUACAAGCAGCAUUUUGGUACUCUUAUGCUGUUCACCUUUUAUACUGAUGUGCAAAACGGUUAACGAUACCAAAAUUUUAUGCCAAAAACAAGGCAUCACCAUCAAAACCUUUUCUCCAAACUUGGGGUGCCACACAACAAAAGUCUAGCCAAGGUUCUAAUUGUAAAGGAGGAAGUUUUCUUUUUGAUUCAUUGCUUCGUUUGAGAAGUUUGCUAACAAGAGAGAGGAUAUUAUUUGGGCUUCUCUCUGCAUCGGUGUUCUUCUUUUGGACCUGGCUUUUCUUUUAUCUUUACCAAUGGGAGUUUCUCAAUGAGGCACUCUUUUACCAUCUUACACGCACUGAUCCGAGGCACAACUUCUCCAUAUAUUUUUAUCACAUCUAUCUUCAUCAUGAACGUGAAUUUUCAAUAUUGGAGAAGCUUGUGUCUUUUUUGCCUCAGUUGACGGUGCAACUUGUUCUUAUUUUCCGCUACGCACAAGACCUCCCAUUCUGCCUCUUUGUCCAGACAGUGGCUUUUGUAGCAUUCAACAAGGUACUUGAGUUUGUGAUCAAUUUCUUAUCAUUUCUAAAGCGUAACUUCUAUCUUAAUAUAACGUCUUACAGAUUCUUCUUAGUGAUGCGUUUUUCCCCAUAUUUUGAGAUUGAUUGUUACGCAUACAUGUGAAAUUAUGUUUUAUCAUCAUCUUGGUUGUUGAUUCCAAACCAAGAAUGGUUAACAACUGUGACAUAUUAUACGUAAGGUAACUGCAGCUUCUUGCUAUAAUAAAUCUGGGAUGAUCUUUAUGCAUCACAAUUUUAUUAACAGAUGAUAAAUAUUAAUCAUUGACAGGUUGUCACAGCGCAAUAUUUUGUAUGGUUCUUCUGCCUGCUUCCCUUAUUGCUACCAUGGAGUAAUAUGAAUCUCAGAUGGGAAGGUUUAUCGUGCAUUCUCAUAUGGAUGGGUACGCAACUGCAUUGGCUGAUGUGGGGUUAUAUGUUGGAAUUCAAAGGGAAGAAUGUCUUUGUUCAGUUAUGGGUUGCAGGUUUAUUGUUCUUGGCUGCAAACACAUGGGUUCUCAUCAAGAUAAUGUGUCGGCACAAAUUUUCCCCGAUUUUCAUUGCGUCACAGAAGACAAGUGUCAAAAGUGCUAGAAAACUACAGUGAUGGAGCAGUUAGUUUUUGCUCGUGGUGCACUUUUUGUUGUAGUCUUAAGUUACGUAUGUUGGAAUUUAUUUCUUAAGAUGUGGGCAAUUUUACAAUUCCAAUUUAUUUCUUAAGAUGUGGGCAAUUUUACAAUUCCACGCCUAAAUAUUGCACUUUCACAAGAUGAUGUUGAAUGAUGUAAGAUGAAAAUUCCUUCAGAAGCAUUUUGAACAAUCAGGACAUUCUAACAGCGAAAGUGAGGAGUGCCAACCUGCAUUAAACAUUUUUUACUGCCAAUCCAUUAGCAUUGAAUAUGAUAUCAAAUGAACAUUUCCUUGUAAUUGGUUGUAUCUUGGUAAAUCCAGUUUCACAGGGUACUGAAGAUAGUAGGGAACACAGAAGUAUAUUACUUAAAAAAAUGGCAUGAAAAGUAACAAAACCAAGAUGGCAAGAUCCAGAUAUUAUGAUUCAGUUAGAAGUCUAGAGUCAAUAAAAGUCUAGUUCUUAUCAAUCUAGAGGUGAAGAAGAUGAUAAUAGAGGUGAAGAAGAUGAUAAUAGAUUUAGGUUUUGUCUCUAGUAGGUGUAAUAAAACUAAUUUGGUAAAGUGUUUAUGUCUAAUCCAAAUGUCCACUUCACGAUGGUUAGAUUUUAUUGUGAUUUGAAAGUUUGAACGAUCUAAAAUCGACGGUCCUUAUUAAAACUAAUUUUGUUGCCGAUGUGGUAAAGUGGGUUCUUUAAAACCACCUACAAAAUAAUCUGAUGUGGCAUGAGGG
RNAcentral lists this long non-coding RNA (6640 nucleotides) under Aquilegia coerulea. RNAcentral's name for it is "long non-coding RNA (ACOE_LNC002172)". Lineage: Eukaryota; Viridiplantae; Streptophyta; Magnoliopsida; Ranunculales; Ranunculaceae. The record is from RNAcentral.